UUACUUCGGUACGAUCGGUGACAGGUGGUGCAUGGUUGUCGUCAGCUCGUGUCGUGAGAUGUUGGGUUAAGUCCGCAACGAGCGCAACCCCUAUUGUUAGUUGCCAUCAUUCAGUUGGGCACUCUAGCGAGACUGCGGUAAUAAACCGGAGGAAGGUGGGAUGACGUCAAUCAUCAUGCCCUUAUGACCUGGGCUACACACGUGCUACAAUGGUUGGUACAACGAGUUGCGAGUCGGUGACGGCGAGCUAAUCUCUUAAAGCCAAUCUCAGUUCGGAUUGUAGGCUGCAACUCGCCUACAUGAAGUCGGAAUCGCUAGUAAUCGCGGAUCAGCACGCCGCGGUGAAUACGUUCCCGGGCCUU
RNAcentral lists this ribosomal RNA (362 nucleotides) under uncultured Streptococcus sp. Its description in RNAcentral is "bacterial SSU rRNA". It matches the Rfam family "Bacterial small subunit ribosomal RNA", at positions 1014 to 1382 of the family's 1533-position model. Lineage: Bacteria; Bacillati; Bacillota; Bacilli; Lactobacillales; Streptococcaceae. The record is from RNAcentral.